Long non-coding RNA from Oreochromis aureus, 982 nucleotides. RefSeq lists it as uncharacterized. The record is from RefSeq and is a predicted model, not a curated record. NCBI's taxonomy places the organism in Eukaryota, Metazoa, Chordata, Actinopteri, Cichliformes, Cichlidae. The transcript is spliced from 4 exons.
AUUUCUCACAGUCCAGCGCACCCAUGUAAGGUUAACUAAGGAUUCCAAGCAGGCUGUAGCUGUGGAAGAAGGUGUGGAUGUGGGUGUAAAUGGUUGUUCCAGCCUCUGUUUUAACUCAACUGUAGCUGGUGCUCCUGGAACACAGAUGUAACCUCUCUCCUAACAGGUGGAGAGGGGCUUCGCACAGCUGAGCUUGGAGCUUGCAGGCCUUCUUUCUGGAACACGGCAGCAGCACACAGGCUAUUUUGCCUGAGGCCUGACGUCAACGGGUCUUCAAGACAAAACACGUGUGAAAGAAGCACAUUUUAUCUGCAAGAUGUCAGCCCGUCAUUGCGUGAAUGACAAUGAGUCAGUUCUGAGAAGAUCCCCAACACCGCUGACUGAAAUGGAUCCACAAUCCAUGACACAGCCUCCGCUGUGUUUUACAGAUGGCUACAGACAUGCACUGUUGUACUUACCUCUUGACCUACUCUGUAUAUAUUGGCAACAGAUUUCCAGUCCAGUCCUUGUGUAAUUCGGCAUACAUCAGCAUUUUCUGUGUCAGGUCCCUGCUGGAGUUUCAUGUCCUUUCUUAAUGACAUACCUUUGCAUACUGUUCAUACUUUGAUUUAGGCUCGAAACAUCUUCUUUUGUCCUGCGCUUGUCAAUUUUCGCUCGACACGCUGCACAUCAUGUUGAAAUAUGCCAAGUUUUCAACUAAUAUUGUUUUAGAAAUCACCUUGUUGGUGCAAGAAUACAAUUUUUAAGCCUAUCAAACUGUUUGCACCAAACUUUUUUAUAGAAAUGGGAACAAUUCUGUGUUUUUGCAACAGUAUUUUAGUUACUUAUUUUUUGCUUGAAUAAUUCAUAGGUCAGUAUUAAUUGGCUGAAAAAAGCAGAACAAAAAAAAAUAAAACCAUUCCUGUGAAAAUGUUUAGGUACGAGGACUGGACUGGACGGCCUUCAGAAAACCUGAAAAACUGUACUUCCAGACCCCUUUAAA